RNAcentral lists this ribosomal RNA (316 nucleotides) under uncultured bacterium. RNAcentral describes it as "bacterial SSU rRNA". It matches the Rfam family "Bacterial small subunit ribosomal RNA", at positions 774 to 1073 of the family's 1533-position model. The record is from RNAcentral.
AGAUAAUAGAUACCCUGGUAGUCCACGCCCUAAACGACGGAUACUCGACAUAUGCGAUACACUGUAUGUGUCUGAGCGAAAGCAUUAAGUAUCCCACCUGGGAAGUACGACCGCAAAGGUUGAAACUCAAAGGAAUUGGCGGGGUCGGCACAAGCGGUGGAGCAUGUGGUUUAAUUUACGAUGAUACGCGAGGAACCGUUACCCUUGGGCGUAGAAUAGCAGAUUACGUACCGGUCGGGUAGGAAACGCUCUAUUUUAGUAGCAAUACACAGUCUGUAAGGUGCUGCAUGGCUGUCGUCAGCUCGUGCCGUGAGGU